Choloepus didactylus (southern two-toed sloth) is the source of this 544-nucleotide long non-coding RNA. RefSeq lists it as uncharacterized. The transcript is spliced from 2 exons. The record is from RefSeq and is a predicted model, not a curated record. NCBI's taxonomy places the organism in Eukaryota, Metazoa, Chordata, Mammalia, Pilosa, Megalonychidae.
GAAAGCGUCCGGGUUAGGUCUGUGUACGCAGUCGUGUUUCGCGUGCAAUAGUGAAAAUUGAGUUGAGACUUUUCGGCGUUAUUAAAAUGCAAGAGGUUAAAAAUUUUUGUUAUCAUGGUAGACGAGGGGCAGUUUGGAAGGCCUUUAGGGCCACAAAUAUGGACGCAGUUAGUUUUUCCUUAGGUCGCGCGGUAGCCACGUGCGACCCUGGGCACUGAAUUCUAGGGCAGGGGCUCUCGUGGGAAGAGUGCCCCGUGGACUCGGGUGAAAGUCUUUGGUUAGUUGGUGCUGCCGGCGACGUAUAGCCAUCUUGACUUGGUCACAGCACCCUGAGAAUUGGCCAGUUAGAUCCGGAGGAUACCAAGAAAUCCAAAAUGAUAGCGGUGAAAUCGUACUCAACAUCUUGGCAGUGGAUCCUCAUGUUUGAAUUUGUCUUGUGUUCAGGAUAAUCUGGGAAUUAUCAGAGCUGUGUUUCUAAAUAUUGAUUGUUGUUAAAUAGAGCAUACUAUUUAAGCAAAGAAUAAAAUACUUUGUUAUAAUUUGA